UACGUAGGGGGCAAGCGUUGUCCGGAAUCAUUGGGCGUAAAGCGCGUGUAGGCGGCCCGAUAAGUCCGCUGUGAAAGUCCAGGGCUCAACCCUGGGAUGCCGGUGGAUACUGUCGGGCUCGAGUCCGGAAGAGGCGAGUGGAAUUCCUGGUGUAGCGGUGAAAUGCGCAGAUAUCGGGAGGAACACCGGUGGCGAAGGCGGCUUGCUGGGCCAGUUCUGACGCUGAGGAGCGAAAGCGUGGGGAGCGAACAGG
RNAcentral lists this ribosomal RNA (253 nucleotides) under uncultured bacterium. RNAcentral's name for it is "partial 16S ribosomal RNA". It matches the Rfam family "Bacterial small subunit ribosomal RNA", at positions 524 to 776 of the family's 1533-position model. The record is from RNAcentral.